RNAcentral lists this microRNA (22 nucleotides) under Bos taurus (domestic cattle). Its description in RNAcentral is "bta-miR-1284". Lineage: Eukaryota; Metazoa; Chordata; Mammalia; Artiodactyla; Bovidae. The record is from miRBase by way of RNAcentral.
UCUGCACAGACCCUGGCUUUUC